This 3940-nucleotide long non-coding RNA is filed under the name Phoenix dactylifera (date palm). Its description in RNAcentral is "long non-coding RNA (PDAC_LNC011702)". Lineage: Eukaryota; Viridiplantae; Streptophyta; Magnoliopsida; Arecales; Arecaceae. The record is from RNAcentral.
UUCCCGAUCCCCUCCUCCUCCUCUUCUCCUCUCCACCCAUGAGGCAAGGGGGUUGAGCUCGGGAGAAGGUCAACCCGAAGCCGGCGGUGCUGCGGCCAACCAGCGGCGCCUGCGGCGGCCGCGGUCCGACCGGCAGCAGCCGCGGCCCGGCUGGCCGCUCCUUUCCUCCAUCUCUGGUGGGGAAGAUGGAAGCUCGGGCACCGUCGAGAGGAAGGAAGGCCUCAGUCGCCCCGAUCCUCCCUCUCCAAAGUUCUCGACUACCGGAUCUAGGACCACCUUCACCGGACUUUUUCUUUUCUUCAUCCUUGACCUCUCCUCUUCUCCUCCUUCCUCGGUGGGAGAAAUGGAGCUUGAGGUCACAACUGUGGCCGAUCGUGCCAACGCCGACUCAGUGGCCGAAUACCAUAGGUUGAGUCUUCCCCCUCCCUUCUCUUCUUCCAUUUCUCUUUUGUUUUAUUUCUUUCUACCUCUGUUUUUAUCUCAUGGCUAGAUUAGAUCUAAGCUAAACAGGAUACAAAUCAUGAGGGGGAGAGGGGUUUAAGGUUUUACCUUGCUCCGAGGAGGAGCCGAGCAGCUCUUCCGGUAGCUUGAUCACUUCCCCCGGCGCCUCAGCCUCCUACUCCGACGGCGUCGCUCCCGAUCCGCUUCCUUUGUAAUAGAGAUGGGAGUGAAAGGUGGAGGAAAGGUGAGCGAUGGAGUCCCUCAGUGAGCAGGAGUCUGUGAGUUUUAUAGCCUUCUUCAGGAAGAGAGAGAAGGGAGAUCCGCAAUAUCAAUGACUGUUGGGUGGUUAUAACCUCCUGGCUUCUCUUUCUUCCCGAAGCUACCUUAGUUUAAAUCCCAAGAUGGGCCCACUAUGGUCUAGGUUGACCCAUCUGGCCCCAAUACUUACAUUCUUUCCUCCUUAAAAGAAAUUUCGUCCUAGAAAUUUUACAUAUCUUAAUUUCUAAACAAAUGAAGGUAUUUAAUCUUUUAUCUAACAUUCCACCAAGCUUCCGCUGCGCAAAUUUGAUCGAGCCCGACAUUUCUAAGGCUUAACAAUUAACUUCAACUUUCUCGUUGAAGUGAUAAAAUUCUUAAACAUAACAUCUAUAAGAAUAGCUUUCUUCGGGGAGAUGACAUCACAUAAAGACUGGUUCAAUUCUUAUAAUGUGCAUUAUAGAGAGUUAGAAACCUAAAAGAUACAAAAGGUGUCGAAGAUUUACAAUUAAUUGACACCUGGCCUUCAUGGCAUUAUCUAGGAUGAUAUUUGUCACUAUUUGGUCAUUUGUACCAGCAUUCUACUGAAUCAAUGCAAAAACUGAGCUUCCGAUUUAGUAGAUUCCGAAUCAUUCUUCUUUUUAUUUGGACAGUCCCGUGCGAAAUGUCCAUGUUGACCACAAAUGAAGCAGACUCCCAUCUUCUUAAAACAAGGCCCCCCAUGAGUCUUGCCACAGUAGGUACAGGCCUCAAACCUCUUCUUCUUAUUUGUAUUACUUUCAGGGUUCCGUGGCCUGUCACUUAGACUUUCUAUCAUCUUGGGUCUCUUCUGGUCAUCCCUUUCUUUUUCUGAUCUCUUCAAUUCGGCUUCCAAUUUUAGAGCCCUUUCCAAUACAUCCUGGUAACUUGUGAAAAUCAGAACGGCCAAUCUAGACCUGAUCCCAUAUCUCAGACCCUGUUCAAACCUAUUAGCUUUACUUAUCUCUUCCUCCAUAAACUGAGGACAAAACCUGCCCAAUUCAUUGAACUUGCUGGCAUAUUCCAAUACUGUCAUAUUCUCGGUCUGUUUCAGGGCCAAAAAUUCAUUUUGCUUCACCAAUCUCAUUGACUGAGGGAAGUACUGAUUGUAAAAUUUAUCUUUGAAUUCCUCCCAUGUCAGUUGUUCACCAUUUCCUUGAACAGCAGCCUUCAUAGCUAUCCACCAGAACUUGGCGUUUCCUCUGAGCAUAGGAACCGCCAAUUUGACCUUGACCUCCUCGGGAAAUUGUAGGGCAUCAUACAUUUCCUCUAUCUCCCGAAUCCAAGGCUCCGCAGCCAAGUAAUCAGCACCUCCCUCAAACAUUGGAGGAUGCAGCCUCCGAAAUUUCUCAUAAUAGGUAUCGGUGGACGAUACAGGUCGGCAGGAGAGCUGCGUCUGCUGCUGCUGCUGAAGAAGCUGUGCCACUACCUGACAUACCCCAGCAAGAUCUGCCUGAGUGGCUACAGCAUUUGCAGCUGGCCUAGCUGGCAUGUUGGUAGCUUCUUGAGAUGAUGCUUUUACUCCUUUUCUUUUAUAGUUAGCCAGAACUUCGUUCUCGCUAUCACUCAUCGUCACCUAUCAAAAUAUAGUAUUAAUCAUUAUUCAUUUCAUCACAUUAUAUAUAUAUAUGUAAUUAAAUGUAUAUAUAUAUAUACAAAUUUUCUUUUAUCAUUAUUAUUAUUAUUUAUUUAUUAUACAAAAUAUAAUUAUUGUUCUUACUGUGACUCCAAUUAUGUGUAAGCUAAUUUAGCUGCCCAUUCCCAUGAUUAAUUUUAAAAAUUUUUAAAUUAUGGUUAAAUUUAUGCUCUGAUACCAAAUGUCACGCCCCCGCCUCUGAGAGGCACGUGAGGCACCUAGUGCCCACGUGGGGGCCACAUGAGGGAGGAACACGGGGCUCCCCUGCCAGAUAUUGUCCGGUUCUGGGGCUUCACGCAAGCGUCCUUCACCCCUCCCCGGUUUUGUUUUCCACCCAAAACGCGUCUGCAGGAUUUGGAGACACUCGCCUCAUAUGCCCAGGCUCUGGAACGAGUCUUUCCGAUGUGGGACUAUUGGGCCUCACACCCUUCCCACCAUCGGACAAGAGCCGUCCUCGACUCUGAUACCACAAAUGUCACGCCCCGAAUUCGGUUCAUGACACGGCCGUGUUAUUGCCAAGUUAAGCAUACAAUAACACGCAGCCACUUUAAAACUUCAAAUUGUAAACAACUAUAUUCAUGAAAGUCAUUAAAUGUUCAUGUAUUAAAAUCCAUACAAAGCUUCUAAAAAUAAUAUCAACAUUUAACAUUCGUCUUUCCCAUAACCCUGAAGCAUGUUACGCUCCUUGUUCCUAGCAUCUCCUAUUCAUCUGUGAGAACAUAAAUAAAUGGGUAUGAGCUAUAAAGCUCAGUAAGUAACCUUGCAUAAUCUUAUCUGAUCAAGCAUAAUAUUUUUCAUACUAGUGCAUUAAUUUAAGAAACUAACAGUUGUAACAAAGUAAGCAUUUCAUAUAACAAACCAGUCAUAAAAACUAUUCAUAUCCAUUUAUACAACUUCAUAAACAUGGCUAUGCAUCAUAAACUUUUGUCAUUAUCCCAUGCUUUGAAAUCCGUACUCAUCAUUAUUCAAGGAAGGCCUCAGUCGCCCCGAUCCUCCCUCUCCAAAGUUCUCGACUACCGGAUCUAGGACCACCUUCACCGGACUUUUUCUUUUCUUCAUCCUUGACCUCUCCUCUUCUCCUCCUUCCUCGGUGGGAGAAAUGGAGCUUGAGGUCACAACUGUGGCCGAUCAUGCCAACGCCGACUCAGCGGCCGAACACCAUAGGUUGAGUCUUCCCCCUCCCUUCUCUUCUUCCAUUUCUCUUUUGUUUUAUUUCUUUCUACCUCUAUUUUUAUCUCGUGGCUAGAUUAGAUCUAAGCUAAACAGGAUACAAAUCAUGAGGGGGAGAAGGGUUUAAGGUUUUACCUUGCUCCGAGGAGGAGCAAAGCAGCUCUUCCGGUAGCUUGAUCACUUCCCCUGGCGCCUCAGCCUCCUACUCCGACGGCAUCACUCCCGAUCCGCUUCCUUUGUAACAGAGAUGGGAGUGAAAGGUGGAGGAAAGGUAAGCGAUGGAGUCCCUCAGUGAACAGGAGUCUGUGGGUUUUAUAGCCUUCUUCAGGAAGAGAGAGAAGGGAGAUCCGCAGUAUCAGUGACUGUUGGGUGGUUAUAACCACCUGGCUUCUCUUUCUCCCCGAUAGGGCUGGAAGUGGG